CUUCCGCCCAACUGAACGCGUGCUGCCGGCCUGUUCAGGCCUUCCGGCUUCCGCUCUGUACCGUGCAUUUCCCAAUUCCCACGACAAUUCCUUCCGAACAAGCACGCCGAUGGUGAUCCAUCAAUCGAUCCCAGUUCCAUUUCCUACGAUUGUUCUCUAGCGACCGCGUCCCGGACGCAAAUUGCUGGUCGUAAGAUGUGCGCCUCGGUUGAUAGAGAGCGCCGCCAACCUGCUCGACGGAAUGCCUUGCCGAUUGGUCAUGGCUCAUAGGGGUUUUGGGGGCAGGGGAGCUGGCUGCUGCGGCCGUUGCUACUUCUCAAGCAAGCAAGCUACGGCAUCGCACUGGAAGUUUGCUGCUUCUGUGUCAAACACCAAGGAAUGCCCUGCUCUCUGUCUGUUUCGUGGCUGACAGGAUAUUCUGAUCUUGCUUGCUAUGCACUGUAAGAACAUUUCGUUAUCUUUGAAGAGCUGUAAGUUUAACUCGAUGCACUGCAAGGUUUGCUUGAUGAAGCCAUAGAAACAUUAUGAAAGAAUAUUUCUUUUUUUUAUUCCAACUGAAAGAUUUAAUGCCCUGCUACCCUUCAUAUAAUUUGAUCAGGUGAUCUGGUGGCAUCUUGCAGGUGUGUAGAAGCCAAGCCCAUGGCCCGAACAGAUCGCUCGCUUUUCGCCGAAGCCAAGGGUAUGGAGCUCAUAUCAAAGAAGAGAAGGAAAAGGACACGCGUUAGGUCUGAUGCAAUCUUUGGUAAAAGUUGGUUUGUUCUGUACUUCUAUGUCUUUACUAGCAUAUACUUUGCAAGUAACUAUGACUAAAAGAAGAAAUAACUGUGCCAUUUGAAAUCAACUGCGUUGUUACUUUAAUCAGUGCAUCAUCAUUACUAUGAUCGGAUCAACAUGUUAUCGCUUUAAGAUCAUAAUGCUUUUCAUGUGGCAGCUCCUUCUAUGUUGCAUUACCUAUUGCUUAACAGAGAAGUAAAUUUAAGUUUGUUAUUUGUGGUGCCUUUUUUGAUCUAGGAUUUCUAGGCCUAUUUUUUUUCCAUAACUAGCAUGAUAUGAUUGCUCUUUUUUCUAAUGGGAUCCUAAUUUUUAGGUAGCCAACUUGCCUUCCUAGAUGAAAGCCUUUCGGUAGUUAGUUCAUCGGCCCUUUUGCAAGAGCUGAAUACAGAAAUCUGUUAGCUUUCAAAAUAAAAUAGUUGAACGAGCACUUUAGGAAUCUCUCCAAAGAAAAGGCCAAAUCAUGGAAAUUCAUUCCUUCACCCACCUUUAAAUCUCACCCUUUUCUUUUGCAGCAAGGAUCAUCUUGUGGGCUCCCUUGCCCACUUCACAAGCAGGGAUCUUAGCAUAAUCUUGCAUCACUUUAUAAUUAUUUCUAUUCUUGUUUUCUGCAUCUAAGUGCUCAAGACUCAACAACAAUAUAUUUGCAGCUAAGGUGGCCCAAUCUUUACUUUAAAAGAAGUUAGGUGCUGUUUUUUUCUCUUUCUACUUUGGUACUGAUAAAAUGCUAUCCUUGGACCAUGACCAGUCCAUGUAUGCACAGCAUGAAGAAACCAAACCUGUUGGAUCCCAAAAAAAACUAGCACUGAUGCUUUAAGAUUCCCCCAUCUUUGCAUUCUGCAGUAAAGCAGGCAAAGCAUUGGAUGUUGCUAGCCUACAUGGAGAAAUGUGAGGAAAGAGGCUAUUGAAACUUGGUGCGGAUCCUUUAAGUUUGAAUGGGUAGCUUUGGUGGCCUUGGAAGAUUCAAAGCGAAAAGCGUGCUCCUUGCAAGAAGGGCAGGCACAACAAAUAAAAAGCGUGCGAAAGCACAAAGCCUUGCAUCGUACUGUUGUCUGCUGGUUACCGCAACCUGACCCUGUUUUCACCCCUACCUAUGAACGGUUCAGAUUUGGUUUUACUAGAGGCUGGAACAGAGGAGGAUGGCAACAAGGGUCUAAAGCAAGGGUUUGGUUCUUGCUGUUGCUCUUAUCCCCUACAUGGCCGCUUUAGGCUUGUCUCUUGGAACAGACGAUGGGCUCUCGCUCUCCCAUCCAAUGACUUUGCCAAAAUCUACCUGUCAGGGUCUCAGAACCUUCUAUGAGCAGCCUUAGACAUGCCUCCCUUGUCCCUUUGUGCUUUGGGGCCCGGCGUGGCCUUGGGCUAUAUCUACAGACAGGACAUUGCUGUGACUGAUGGUUUGUACUAGGUGCAGCGAAGCCAUUAGAGCCCAGGCAUCAGCAGGAGUUGCAUGUCUCCGGCUGAGGAGCAGCAUCAUCAGCAGCAGCAGCGACAUGGGGAGCACCAGAGGCUGGUCGUCGAGGCUCCUGGCGGUCUCCGCCUUCGUGUGCCUCCUGGCUGCGCUGCGCCCUCCUGCCAUGGUGAACGGCCUGAGGAGAGAGGAGCUCGUCGUCCUCGGCCGUGAUCCGGCGCCGGCGCCGGCGCCAGCGGAGGCGCCUGCCGCAGGCGGCGCCAAUGCCGCCGGCGUUGAUGCGGCGGGGCCGAAGCAGUUCGUGGCUCCUGCCGCGACGACGAUCGGCGCGGUGGAGAUGAGCAAGUGGAGGGUCCGGCGGGGCUCGGACCCCAUACACAACCGGAGCUGACGACGCUCCGGCCGCUUCUUGAUGUGCUCUGAAGUUUGGACACGUCUCCUUUUGUAGCGAGAGUGUAAUCUCAUCUGUUGCCAGAGAGAAAUUCUGCAGGAGAUUCGAGGGCAACGAAAAACAAAUGAACAGGAUGGUUAGUUUCUUCGCUUUAGCUGUAGGAGGAUAGCAAGGAGGUAGAUGGAUGCAAUGUAGCUCAUUCAGUUGGAUUGUAACAUAGUAAUUUCUCAUCAGAGGGUAAGAUGGGAUCAUAUCCUUUUUUUUCAAUGGUGACAGGUAGAUGAGUAGAUGCUCCUGAUCUUGGAGCUCUUUCAGGCAUUCCAGAUUUCCAGACGUCCACAUUAGGGCUUGUUUGUUUGAGUAGUAGUGGAUUGAAGUGGAAUGUGAGGGAUUGGAGGGGAAAUUAGUUUAUUUUAGACUCAA
Long non-coding RNA from Setaria italica (foxtail millet), 2993 nucleotides. RefSeq lists it as uncharacterized. The record is from RefSeq and is a predicted model, not a curated record. The transcript has 2 exons. NCBI's taxonomy places the organism in Eukaryota, Viridiplantae, Streptophyta, Magnoliopsida, Poales, Poaceae.